RNAcentral lists this long non-coding RNA (278 nucleotides) under Dasypus novemcinctus (nine-banded armadillo). RNAcentral describes it as "lncRNA (ENSDNOG00000050308.1)". The record is from RNAcentral. Lineage: Eukaryota; Metazoa; Chordata; Mammalia; Cingulata; Dasypodidae.
GCAAAAUUGCUGAGUCCCGUAUCUUCAACUCAAUGGAUUGCUACAUGGCCAGUCACUAAGAGGGUUAAAAUAUGAAUUUGACCAUGCCAUUACCAAUUUAUCCUGUCCUGCAAACCUGGUGCAGGAAUAUUCAACUUGAAGAAAAAUGCAGAUUCAGCUGUGAGAAACACCACCACUCCUUUCUCUAGGAUGGCAGGAGCACGAGAUCACAGUAACUAGGUAGGUACACUUAACAUAUAACUUGAGCAUUUUUCAGGGUGAUAUGAGGAUGAAGAUAC